Molecule: ribosomal RNA, 468 nt
Filed under: uncultured bacterium
Lineage: Bacteria
Description: partial 16S ribosomal RNA
Rfam family: Bacterial small subunit ribosomal RNA
Source: RNAcentral
GACGAACGCUGGCGGCGUGCUUAACACAUGCAAGUCGAACGGAAAGGCCCUGCUUUUGUGGGGUGCUCGAGUGGCGAACGGGUGAGUAACACGUGAGUAACCUGCCCUUGACUUUGGGAUAACUUCAGGAAACUGGGGCUAAUACCGGAUAGGAGCUCCUGCUGCAUGGUGGGGGUUGGAAAGUUUCGGCGGUUGGGGCUGUACUCGCGGCUUAUCAGCUUGUUGGUGGGGUAGUGGCUUACCAAGGCUUUGACGGGUAGCCGGCCUGAGAGGGUGACCGGCGACAUUGGGACUGCGAUACGGCCCAGACUCCUACGGGAGACAGCAGUGGGGAAUAUUGCACAAUGGGCGGAAGCCUGAUGCAGCAACGCCGCGUGCGGGAUGACGGCCUUCGGGUUGUAAACCGCUUUCGCCUGUGACGAAGCGUGAGUGACGGUAAUGGGUAAAGAAGCACCGGCUAACUACGUG